Molecule: ribosomal RNA, 805 nt
Filed under: uncultured bacterium
Lineage: Bacteria
Description: bacterial SSU rRNA
Rfam family: Bacterial small subunit ribosomal RNA
Source: RNAcentral
AGAGUUUGAUCCUGGCUCAGGACGAACGCUGGCGGCAUGCCCAAUACAUGCAAGUCGAACGAGCUGACGGAGUGCUUGCACUCCCGACGCGAGUGGCGGACGGGUGAGUAACACGUGGGAAACCUACCUGUAAGUAGGGGAUAACAUUCGGAAACGGAUGCUAAUACCCUAUAGGUUUCAGUUCCGCAUGGAACUGAAAGGAAAGACGGCUCUGCUGUCGCUUACAGAUGGUCCCGCGGCGCAUUAGCUAGUUGGUGGGAUAAAAGCUCACCAAGGCUGUGAUGCGUAGCCGACCUGAGAGGGUAACCGGCCACACUGGGACUGAGACACGGCCCAGACUCCUACGGGAGGCAGCAGUAGGGAGUCUUCCGCAAUGGACGAAAGUCUGACGGAGCAAUGCCGCGUGAAUGAAGAAGGUCUUCGGAUCGUAAAAUUCUGUUGUUAGAGAAGAACAAGGAGUAACUAACUACUACUCCCUUGACGGUAUCUAACCAGAAAGCCACGGCUAACUACGUGCCAGCAGCCGCGGUAAUACGUAGGUGGCAAGCGUUGUCCGGAUUUAUUGGGCGUAAAGGGAGCGCAGGCGGUGACUUAAGUCUGAUGUGAAAGCCCACGGCUCAACCGUGGAAGGUCAUUGGAAACUGGGUCACUUGAAUAUAGAAGAGGAAAGUGGAAUUCCAUGUGUAGCGGUGAAAUGCGUAGAUACAUGGAGGAACACCAGUGGCGAAGGCGACUUUCUGGUCUAUUAUUGACGCUGAGGCUCGAAAGCAUGGGUAGCAAACAGGAUUAGAUACCCUGGUAGUCC